GUCGCCUACGGGGGGCAGCAGUGGGGAAUAUUGCACAAUGGGGGAAACCCUGAUGCAGCAACGCCGCGUGAGUGAAGAAGUAUUUCGGUAUGUAAAGCUCUAUCAGCAGGGAAGAAGAAAGACGGUACCUGACUAAGAAGCCCCGGCUAACUACGUGCCAGCAGCCGCGGUAAUACGUAGGUGGCAAGCGUUGUCCGGAUUUACUGGGUGUAAAGGGCGUGUAGCCGGGCCGACAAGUCAGAUGUGAAAUCCGUGGGCUUAACCCGCGAACUGCAUUUGAAACUAUUGGUCUUGAGUACCGGAGA
This 305-nucleotide ribosomal RNA is filed under the name uncultured bacterium. RNAcentral's name for it is "bacterial SSU rRNA". It matches the Rfam family "Bacterial small subunit ribosomal RNA", at positions 334 to 655 of the family's 1533-position model. The record is from RNAcentral.